AUUGAACGCUGGCGGCAGGCCUAACACAUGCAAGUCGAGCGGAUGAAGGGAGCUUGCUCCUGGAUUCAGCGGCGGACGGGUGAGUAAUGCCUAGGAAUCUGCCUGGUAGUGGGGGAUAACGUCCGGAAACGGGCGCUAAUACCGCAUACGUCCUGAGGGAGAAAGUGGGGGAUCUUCGGACCUCACGCUAUCAGAUGAGCCUAGGUCGGAUUAGCUAGUUGGUGGGGUAAAGGCCUACCAAGGCGACGAUCCGUAACUGGUCUGAGAGGAUGAUCAGUCACACUGGAACUGAGACACGGUCCAGACUCCUACGGGAGGCAGCAGUGGGGAAUAUUGGACAAUGGGCGAAAGCCUGAUCCAGCCAUGCCGCGUGUGUGAAGAAGGUCUUCGGAUUGUAAAGCACUUUAAGUUGGGAGGAAGGGCAGUAAGUUAAUACCUUGCUGUUUUGACGUUACCAGCAGAAUAAGCACCGGCUAACUUCGU
This 483-nucleotide ribosomal RNA is filed under the name uncultured bacterium. RNAcentral's name for it is "partial 16S ribosomal RNA". It matches the Rfam family "Bacterial small subunit ribosomal RNA", at positions 30 to 506 of the family's 1533-position model. The record is from RNAcentral.